Molecule: ribosomal RNA, 468 nt
Filed under: uncultured bacterium
Lineage: Bacteria
Description: partial 16S ribosomal RNA
Rfam family: Bacterial small subunit ribosomal RNA
Source: RNAcentral
GACGAACGCUGGCGGCGUGCUUAACACAUGCAAGUCGAACGGAAAGGCCCUGCUUUUGUGGGGUGCUCGAGUGGCGAACGGGUGCGUAACACGUGAGUAACCUGCCCUUGACUUUGGGAUAACUUCAGGAAACUGGGGCUAAUACCGGAUAGGAGCUCCUGCUGCAUGGUGGGGGUUGGAAAGUUUCGGCGGUUGGGGAUGGACUCGCGGCUUAUCAGCUUGUUGGUGGGGUAGUGGCUUACCAAGGCUUUGACGGGUAGCCGGCCUGUGAGGGUGACCGGCCACAUUGGGACUGAGGUACGGCCCAGACUCCUACGGGAGGCAGCAGUGGGGAAUAUUGCACAAUGGGCGGAAGCCUGAUGCAGCAACGCCGCGGGCGGGAUGACGGCCUUCGGGUUGUAAACCGCUUUCGCCUGUGACGAAGCGUGAGUGACGGUAAUGGGUAAAGAAGCACCGGCUAACUACGUG